ACAGAGAUUGAGUACAGAAAAACAUAAACACUCUCUUCUCAACGUUAGUGAGUAGUGCAAGGGGAGAACAAAAUGGUUUGCUUGUGUCACCUGUUCGUUGGAGGGGUUACAGGGUAUGCGGCUUAGAGAUCGCGCAUUCUUUUUUCUCUCCUUCUCCCUUCCAUAUGAAGAUCUAUAAAACUAGCACACGGAGGAAGGAAGAAGCUGAUAUUACGGGUACACAUUCCCAUACAAAGUGACCAGUUCAACCUCACCAUGGAGUCUCAUGCCACUGGAAAACCCAUAAAAAAAAUGUACAAAAUUAUUCCAUUUGCGAGAGUGAAAACAGAAGAGGCCAAAGGAGAAAAUACUUGUAGCUUUCCGUCAGUGGAAAAUUCUUAAGAAAGGGGGCAAAAGAGGACCCAAAAAUUGAAACGAAAA
Molecule: long non-coding RNA, 420 nt
Organism: Drosophila guanche
Lineage: Eukaryota; Metazoa; Arthropoda; Insecta; Diptera; Drosophilidae
Exons: 3
Source: RefSeq, a predicted model, not a curated record